UACGAAGGGGGCUAGCGUUGCUCGGAAUUACUGGGCGUAAAGGGCGCGUAGGCGGACAGUUAAGUCAGAGGUGAAAGCCCAGGGCUCAACCCUGGAAUUGCCUUUGAUACUGGCUGUCUUGAGUGCGGGAGAGGUGUGUGGAACUCCGAGUGUAGAGGUGAAAUUCGUAGAUAUUCGGAAGAACACCAGUGGCGAAGGCGACACACUGGCCCGGUACUGACGCUGAGGUGCGAAAGCGUGGGGAGCAAACAGG
RNAcentral lists this ribosomal RNA (253 nucleotides) under uncultured bacterium. Its description in RNAcentral is "partial 16S ribosomal RNA". It matches the Rfam family "Bacterial small subunit ribosomal RNA", at positions 524 to 776 of the family's 1533-position model. The record is from RNAcentral.